RNAcentral lists this ribosomal RNA (468 nucleotides) under uncultured bacterium. RNAcentral describes it as "partial 16S ribosomal RNA". It matches the Rfam family "Bacterial small subunit ribosomal RNA", at positions 28 to 507 of the family's 1533-position model. The record is from RNAcentral.
GACGAACGCUGGCGGCGUGCUUAACACAUGCAAGUCGAACGGAAAGGCCCUGCUUUUGUGGGGUGCUCGAGUGGCGAACGGGUGAGUAACACGUGAGUAACCUGCCCUUGACUUUGGGAUAACUUCAGGAAACUGGGGCUAAUACCGGAUAGGAGCUCCUGCUGCAUGGUGGGGGUUGGAAAGUUUCGGCGGUUGGGGAUGGACUCGCGGCUUAUCAGCUUGUUGGUGGGGUAGUGGCUUACCAAGGCUUUGACGGGUAGCCGGCCUGAGAGGGUGACCGGCCACAUUGGGACUGAGAGACGGCCCAGACUCCUACGGGAGGCAGCAGUGGGGAAUAUUGCACAAUGAGCGGAAGCCUGAUGCAGCAACGCCGCGUGCGGGAUGACGGCCUUCGGGUUGUAAACCGCUUUCGCCUGUGACGAAGCGUGAGUGACGGUAAUGGGUAAAGAAGCACCGGCUAACUACGUG